AUGCUGCACAUGUUGGACACCAAGAUUAACUGGUCUUGGUCCACAGCUGUUUGGAGUUCUUUGUGCCAUAGUUCCGUCCAGCACCUACAAAAUGAAGAGAAAACAUUGUUGCUGAGGUAUAUUUGGUCAUCCACAAGAAAGGAAUCUUCCAUACUGCUACAGGAUUGCUGUUACAAACAUGAGAAGAGAGAAAAGAAAAUCAGAUCUAGAACAAAUCACAGAAGAGAAGACGGGGGGAAACGUGGGAGGGGGAGAAAAUUAGAGAAGAGAUCAGACGCCCUUACACUAGUGAGUUUCUCCAUGCUUGUGGGCAUGGGGUUUUGCCUGGGUUCAGUCAAAAAGUAG
Molecule: ribosomal RNA, 345 nt
Filed under: Triticum aestivum (bread wheat)
Lineage: Eukaryota; Viridiplantae; Streptophyta; Magnoliopsida; Poales; Poaceae
Description: partial small subunit ribosomal RNA
Source: RNAcentral